UCAAAUUGACGAGCACGUGACGAAGUUCGAUCCUCUCCAAAGCGGGUCUGCCAACCGGGGUCGGGACGGGCCCGAAAUCGGGCACGCAAGCCCGCGGCUUGGCUGAGUUUUCUGCUCUCGCGCUGCUGGCCCUGCUGCCUCGAUGGAGAUGCGGCUGUCUUCGGUGGAGCUCGGCUAAAAAGAAACUGCCGUGGUUCCGCUUGACUUUGAUCGAGGAAAUUGAAGCAGAAGCCGUGGCCAGGCGAGGAAAGAUGAAAGCGAGACCGAAGCUGCAGGGAAUGAAAAUAGGCAGAGGCUUCGAUCAUCUGGCGUGCGUGUGAGACAAAACGGAGAGAGAGAGAACGGAUGAAGAGGGAAAAUAAAAGCUGCGUCCACUGAAG
Molecule: long non-coding RNA, 380 nt
Filed under: Eucalyptus grandis
Lineage: Eukaryota; Viridiplantae; Streptophyta; Magnoliopsida; Myrtales; Myrtaceae
Description: long non-coding RNA (EGRA_LNC006695)
Source: RNAcentral